GAGAGUGUAGCUCAGCCGGUAGAGCAGCGGCCUUUUAAGCCGUGGGUCGGGGGUUCGAUUCCCCCCAUUCUCACAA
This 76-nucleotide transfer RNA is filed under the name Bacteroidota bacterium. Its description in RNAcentral is "Bacteroidetes bacterium (marine metagenome) tRNA-Lys". It matches the Rfam family "tRNA". Rfam says of the family: Transfer RNA (tRNA) molecules are approximately 80 nucleotides in length. Their secondary structure includes four short double-helical elements and three loops (D, anti-codon, and T loops). Further hydrogen bonds mediate the characteristic L-shaped molecular structure. tRNAs have two regions of fundamental functional importance: the anti-codon, which is responsible for specific mRNA codon recognition, and the 3' end, to which the tRNAs corresponding amino acid is attached (by aminoacyl-tRNA synthetases). tRNAs cope with the degeneracy of the genetic code in two manners: having more than one tRNA (with a specific anti-codon) for a particular amino acid; and 'wobble' base-pairing, i.e. permitting non-standard base-pairing at the 3rd anti-codon position. Lineage: Bacteria; Pseudomonadati; Bacteroidota. The record is from RNAcentral.